GUGUGGUGCGUGUGCAGCCUCCGGAGGCAUCUGCUCCUGGGUCCCUGAUUCUGAGUGUGAUCCGCUGCCUUCCUGCGUGUUUCCCUAUGACUGCCUGAGCGAACAUUCUAGGAGGCUCUGCAAUGUGGCUUUAGACUGCUGUGCUUGUGGGUCAUACGGCAGCAUCUUCACGAAACAUGGAUGCAAAAUAAGCACUGUCUUAUGAUCCAUUUCAGUCCUCUAAAACUACAACAGAAGAGACAAAAGGAGUAAGAUGACCCUCCAAAGAAGUUAUCCCAAUAUGAAAUGUCUCUCCAUGGAGAUUUGCUGAAAAUCAAUAUAAACUCAGCGUACUGGACAUGAACUUGGACAGGCUAUUAAAAAGCCAAUUCUGUCAUUAAAUGAAAGUUGAACGACAAGAAGAUAAAGAUACAGUUGGGAAGUUCUCAUUUGUGGUGUGAGAUUCCAGGGCAAAGAGGUCCAAACUGCAAAAAGUGAACUGGGGAGCAGGCUUUCUGGGUGAUGACAUGGUCAGGGAUGUGUCUCAUGUGGCCCUUUUUGGAGUGGCAAAAGCAGGGUUUCUGGUUCCACAUGUUUGAAUUCAUGCAGAAGGGUCAUUUCCACCGUAUGGAAAAGGAAAGAGUCAUUCCCAGGAAAGGAAGGAUUAUGAGUAAAUCGCUACCCUUUGUUCAGACUUCCAUGGUAAACAUGGCUGUCCUUGUUCAGGCUGGUGGCCCAUAUAUGAAUCCCUCUGUGACACAGCACAGACAACAUAUAUCUUCAGACCAGCGUCUCACUAGACAGUAAGCUCCCAUGAGUGAGGCCCUUGUUUGUCUUUGCGCCAUACACCCUAGCCUGGCUCAUAGGCUCAGGGAGGCAAACUGAGGCAAGUCAAAUGAUAAAUGAUCUGGAGCUUCUGAGAUUAAAAUCCCAAUGUUCUCCAAAUUCUAAAGGAUCUUUUCUAAUUAAAUACAGUUAACCAAGACAAGUCAAACAAGUGUGGGGAUUUUCUGACCACUGUUUUAUCUGGGCCUUUAACUUUGUCUUUUUUCCUACCUCCUUGAUAACUUUGAUCAGUUUUGCUGGUCUUAGAAUUUUCUUGGAAGAUAGAAGUAAAAAGAUGGCAAAGUUUAAGACCAAUCCAUUUUAAAUCAUAGUUGUUCAUUGGGAAGAGAGAAAAACAACCAGAGUGAGCUUUAAUGAAACGUAAGACUAUUAAAGGUCAUCAUUUAAUUAUUCCUCCCCUGCAGAGGGUCUGUGUAGAAAAGAACUAUUUUUCCUGACAGAGUUAUAAAGAAGUGGAUCUUUCUCUUGGCAACCCUUGGGCACCCUAAGAGAGGGGACAGCAUCUGAAUCCUUGAUAUGUCUCUGGUGCCUGUCUUAUGGUCUAACACCUGGCAGGUAAUUAACAAGUGCUUUAUGAAAGAAUACAUGAAUGAAAUCACUGAUUGACAGACUGACCUUGAUUUCUCAAUCCUUGGUUAAUUAUUUAAAAUAUAUUUGGAUCUCAGGCACACAGAAGUGUCUUGCCUACUUGUCAUAAAUGUGUCCAUGGCCCUCUCUUAUUUAACUCCAUCUUCUUGUUUUCUCCUUCAUCCUUCAUCUCUCUAUUUCCAGUUGCAUGUACCCAUCUGUCAACCACUUUAUCUAGAAUAACCACAUUAGUUAGGGUAUUUCUAUCUGUUGUAACAAAUAAAUCUAAAAUCUCAGUGACUUGACUAAAUAGAAUUGUAUAUCUUGCUCACGUGUUUAUGUAUGUGUGUGUUGGAGGAACUAUCUCGUUGUCUCUGUCUCUCUCUGGGUACAUACGUACAUAUAGACAGAGAGAUAGAGACAGACAGAAAGAGAAAGACGGAAUUAUAAAGAUACAUAGAGAAGAUGCACGAAUGAGAGAGAGUGAAAGGAAAAUACGCACUGAAAGGUGAACCCUGGUUACUUCCGGAUGCUAGGAUUAUAGUUUUUUGAUUUUUUAAAAAGAGACACUAGCACAGAAAUGUAAUACAGAAGAAGCUAUGAGGACUUGGUGAGAAGAAAGGCCACUCUGGGAUCCAGAGAGCAAUGGGAAGUGAUUCUAGUCAAGAAAGAAAAAGCAAUGGAAAGAAAGAGAAGUGAGUAGUGACUGUGACAAAAAUCGGUGAAUUUCCUUCCCCUCUGAAAACUCUGGUGAAUGUUCUGAUGGCGUGUGUCUCUGGCUGAAAGUUGCCUAAAUGGAUGAUACAUUCUGUGAUUUCACAGGAAAUGGAAGUCAAGUGACUGGAGCUCCAGCAGCCACUGAAGGGCAAGUGAUGGUGGAGAGCCCAGAUGACAGGUCAACUGAGGUGGAGCCACUUGUGCCUCUCAGGGCAAACAGCGGCAUCCCAAGGGGUCAUCCAGUGUCAGAUUCCUUUGUCUUCAAACUUACCUUUCCCUCUCCCCACACUCCAUUGCUGCUUUCACCAAUAAAGGUUUAUAUGCCUCACCACCUAGGGGAGCUUGCUCUGAUCACUGUAAUGCAGAAAGCCCAGGAGAAUGGUUUCAGCUCCCAUAGGCUGAAAUCCUGAAUUUGACUAUAGAAAUGGUGUUCCAAAAUGUGACUUGGUUUUAUAACAUGUCCACCAUGGCUUUAUAGAAAGUCUACUAUCUAGAACAUUAAAUUACAAACUUAUUUCUCUCUUAGAAACAAAGGGUUUAAUCUAAAUAUUAGAACAUAAGUUAUCCUUAAGUGUAUUCUUGCUACCCUAAAGAAAACACUAUGCAAAUUAAAAAGACAAUAAGAAAAGAGAAAAUGUAAGCAAGGAAUAAACAUUUGAAAAAAAUUUAACUUCACUAAUAAACAGAGAAACAUAAAUUAAAAAUAAAACGUUGUGUAUUAAAAAAAUUAGAAUUAAUUCUAUUUUCCAUGAAACAAAAUCAGGGCUCCUUGGAUAAAUGGCCGGUCUCAGAAUGAGGGCAGGGUAACUGUGAGAGGAACUCUGGAAUGGUUUUUGGUGGGGAGGCCAGAAUAUAAGGAAAGGUUUAAAAAAAUGAGGGGGACGUAGCCAAAGAAUUUAUGAGCAGACUUUCAAGGGUUCCCUUUAGCCAAAUCAGGGACAAUUUCAGUAUCAGAAUGAAUAAUAGCUGUAGUGGAUUAUAACACACUGAAUAUAAAAAGGAUCCACGUAUCAAAGCUUUUUGUUACAGUAAAAUAGCAAAUAAUAAAUGCAGAAGGAAUUCUAGAAUUAGAGAAAAUCACUGUGUUGCAACAAUCAUAGUAAUGAUUGUUUCAGACACGCAACAAAAUGGAUGCUAAAACCCAUGGGCGAGAGGUUUGUUGAAAGACAGGAUAUUUACACAGUCUCAAGUGUCUUCCUAUAGAAUAUGUAUUAAUUACAAAAAGGAAAAGCUACCUUUAGAGCAGAGAAACAUGGCAGAAUCACUGUAACCAUGUG
Long non-coding RNA from Equus caballus (horse), 3386 nucleotides. The record is from Ensembl. NCBI's taxonomy places the organism in Eukaryota, Metazoa, Chordata, Mammalia, Perissodactyla, Equidae.